This is a non-coding RNA of Xanthomonas fragariae, 80 nucleotides long. The record is from Rfam. NCBI's taxonomy places the organism in Bacteria, Pseudomonadati, Pseudomonadota, Gammaproteobacteria, Lysobacterales, Lysobacteraceae.
AUGUACCACUCACUCGUACACUGCGGUUCCUCCGCGCCGUCCGCACCCACCUGACGACUGCUCGCUACGUUUUGUUAGCC